Molecule: long non-coding RNA, 596 nt
Filed under: Homo sapiens (human)
Lineage: Eukaryota; Metazoa; Chordata; Mammalia; Primates; Hominidae
Description: HSALNT0252737
Source: RNAcentral
UUAGGUCUUCAGCAAACUCUUCAACAAAGCAGUCAGGCUGAGGAGGUGAGCCUCUCCCUAGAGGGUGACUCAGGCUGGCGAAGCUCCUGCCCAGCUGCGUUCAGCUAUGCAAUGAUGAUCAGACAAUGACGGCCAGACCUACCCUACACACGAUGCUCCUGGUGACAGGCACAUGCUGCUUCCUUCUUGAGUAUUUGAUUCGACUAAUAUUUAUGAAGCAUUUAUCAGCGCAUGGCAUCACGGUGUAGGCAAAAAUAUAUGUGAUGCACAUUCACUGAGAGCUUGCUUUACAUAGAACAGGAAUUGGAAGUUUGCAACCUGCGAAAAUUACUUUUUCUGGUUGCAAAAAAUGUAUGUGUACUAUGAGAAAGUAUAUUAUCUCUGAAAGAAAUUCAAACAUACAAAAUAUAGAAAAUAAAAAAGUAGAACUAAUCCCAUAAUCUCUCCCUCCGGAUGUAGCCGCAGUUAGAAUUUAUCUUCAAAACUUUUUAAAUAUCCUUAAGUCUCUGGGAGUGUUUUAUUUUUGAAAAUUAAGAUAACAGGGCCAGGCGUGGUGGCUUUGGGCUGGGCACAGUGGUUUAUGCCUGUAAUCCCAG